UUGUCUUAGAAGCAUAUAUAUCCUAUAUAUGGGUAAUUGAUAAUAUCCAACGAACUAAAUCUUAUUCAAGUUCAUUCUUCUCCUAAUGGAGAAAUCCAUUAUCUUAUGAUGCUUCUUUCCUUGAUAUCUUUCAAGAAAACUAUUCUAAAGUGUUACCAUUCCUUGGAUCAAAUCUAAGGAUGUAAAUACUUUAGACGCCUUACUCAUCAACUUACAUUUCUUGAAUUCUUUGAAACCUUUUGCAAAGUAUUCGGACUUGUGUUUAUUUAAAAUAAACUAUAGUCCAACCGAGGGUGAUCUUCGGUGAAUGUCAUACAACAUGAGUAGUAUUAUGUUGCGGACAAGUGCCACUAACAUCUAAGUGAAUUAACCUCAACAACUUUGUGAUUCUUUAUUCUUUCCAAAAGAAUGAAGAUUCAAACAUUUUGCCUCUAUACAAUUUUAACAAGAAGGCAUUGGAUCCGGAUCUAACGAUCCUAAGUAUCCAUCUAUGACUAACUCGUAAUUUAUGUUUUUAGAGGUAUCACAACUUUAGUUGGGAUUAGUCACUACCUUGCAACCUUUUGGGUUUUAAGCAUCGUUGUAUUCUAAACAGUUAACACUACCAUAUCAUCUCUACUAUAGAGACAAUCAAUUAGAUUACUAUAAUCCAAUCAUUGAUUAAUAAAGAACAAUGUUUUGUCAAACAAAACAUUCAUCCAUCUCUACUAUAGUGACGGAAUUAAAUUCCUUAAAAUUGGAAUGUAAAGACAAUCUUUGGUUUUUCCAAUUUCUUUGGUAGUUCAUAUGAGGAAGUAAGUACCAUUUGGUUUCGCAGAAAUCUAUAUUUUAUUCACUUUUCGAAUGUGAAGUACUUUCUCUUCUCUCAUUAAUCUUCCACUUCUUAUUAGCCACACUUUUACAACGAUUGUAAAACAUAGUUACUAAUACGGAAUCAAGCAUUCAAGUAGAAGAACCAACUGUUUUGAACUAUUCAAGAACAAUUUACAACGCCUUCGAAAGGUGUGUUCUUGACACUUGCAAGACAUUUCUUGCAAAUACCCCUUCCAAUGUCCAUCCUUUCAU
This 1065-nucleotide long non-coding RNA is filed under the name Malus domestica (apple). Its description in RNAcentral is "long non-coding RNA (MDOM_LNC000232)". Lineage: Eukaryota; Viridiplantae; Streptophyta; Magnoliopsida; Rosales; Rosaceae. The record is from RNAcentral.